RNAcentral lists this long non-coding RNA (2125 nucleotides) under Pan troglodytes (chimpanzee). Its description in RNAcentral is "long non-coding RNA NONPTRT011289". The record is from RNAcentral. Lineage: Eukaryota; Metazoa; Chordata; Mammalia; Primates; Hominidae.
UUGUAGGCGGCCUUCGACCCGGCGCGGCGAGAACCGGCUCCAAUACAAGGCCCCAGAGUAGUGCAUGCAAAUCAACGACCCUCAAAGUGACAGUCAUUGUCAGAUAACAAGCACAAUCUGCUACAGUCUGUGACCUGGUAAAGAGACCACCUUUUCAUUUUGAGUCCCAUCACCAACUAUGCCAAUGUCCAACCUACCACACAGCUCACAAUGACUCAGAGGUACAUUUUAGUAUCUGAACAGCAAAGACAUAUUGAGCUGCAAGUACAAUGAGUAAGUAUCCUUAGUGUAUUAGACAGGGUAAAUACAAACAAGGCAUAAAAGGGAAAAGCCAACUUCAUCUGAUGCCUGAAUCCCUAAGUCUCUUCCAUCUUUUCUCAUGAUCUGUGUUUAGGGAGAUCUGCUAUGCCAUAUCAAGACCUUGCUCAUCUGGUGAUAAGACGGGGCUGUUUGCCUUGGAAGACUAAAGAAAGGGUGAAUAUUCACAUGAGGUAAGAACUUGAAGUUGUGGUUAUAAUACAUAGGCCAAGUUUGCCCUGCUGUCAACCCAUCUCUGUAACUCCAACUUUGUGCCUGCAUGAAUUCUGCGACAUGGUACAGCUGAUGGGUAGAGAAUUCUAACUCCUGUGAUGUAUUUACAGGAGAAGAUAAUCAUGGAAGAAUUAAAUGGAAGAAUUCAUAGAAGAAUACAGCCAUGGAUAAACUUAAUCAAAAGAAUAUGAUUUUAGUUUGGUUUAGUAUAUUCAGUCAGUCAGUUUUGUUUGUUUUUUGUGAGACGGAGUCUUGCUCUUGUCACCCAGGUUGGAGUGCAGUGGCGCAAUCUUGGCUCACUGCAACCUCCGCCUCCCAGGUUCAAGCGAUUCUCGUGCCUCAGCCUCCCUGAGUAGCUGGGAUUACAGGCGUCUGCCACCACGCCCAGCUAAUUUUUGUAUUUUUAGUAGAGACGGGGUUUCACCAUGUUGGCCAUGCUAGUCUCAAAUUCCUGACCUCAGGUGAUCCACCCGUCUCGGCCUCCCAAAGUGCUGGGAUUACAGGAGUGAGCCACUGCACCCGGCCGGGCCUUUAAAAAUAGUUUUAAAAAAUGUUUCUUGUGUGUUUUUCAAUGCUUUUAGUUACUUACAGAUUGCUACCUGAGGUGAUUUGAGGGAAGGGUAUGUUUAGUGAAUUAGUCUUAAUCAAAAUCACUAGCUAAUUAAAAGAGAAAUGUUCUCACAAGAAAAAUAAUUAUGAUGGAAAGCAGCAAUUAGCUUCUGGAACUACCUGCUUUUCAGUUCAUCCUCUUUUCAGAGAAAUGAGACCCUAAGCAGGGAGGAGCCUACUGGCCAUCUGAGAAACCCUCUAGAGUAACAGAGAAAUGUCAUGGGCCUCAGGGAAGAAAAGAGGCCUGUACCAGGCAACAUCUUAGAUGCCUGGUUGCCAACUUCUCAAAACAACCCAUAACAACCAGCAGGGUUGGUAACUGGCUGACAUUCAUUAACACACUCAUAUGGCUGUUUGUGAACAGAUCCCAAAUGCAAAGCGUCCUUCACAUACUUCUACCCACUCCCCGUCUCCACACCCCUAUACAAGAUCUUUUCAUUCAACCAAAAGGAUAAGAAAUGUGCUACAGAAAUGUGAACAUCAACACAAAUACAGAUUAUUUUUUCAUCAAGAGAGUUAAAACAUUCCCAUUAUCAAGAGGGGUCUUCACCAGAAUGUAACAAAAUGAAUUUCAGCUUUCACACCAGUAACCAGUGAAAGUAUGGCCUAGAGCUAGUUACACGGCAUAAAGUGACUAGUGGUCAGUUAUUGUUCAUUAGUUCAGAUGAGUAACUGCAGAAACUCUACCCAGAGCUGAGCACAUAUGGCUAUCAUGAUGUCAGAUGUCAGUUAAGAGUUAUGUUCCUGUAAACCAAAGCACCAGAGCUAAAUUAACAAUUUCCCUUUCUGGCCUUAAUUGACCAAUAGUUUAAGUACUGUGGUGCUACCAGCACGAUCCUGGGUUGUGCUUCUUCAAACAUUUCAGUUUCUUAAUACUAACAUUGGUAACAAAAUAUCUCAUCAGGGCGGGCACAGUGGCUCACGCCUGUAUUCCCAGCACUUUGGGAGGCCAAGGUGGCAGAUCACUUGAGGCCAGGAGUUCGAA